GAUGAACGCUAGCUACAGGCUUAACACAUGCAAGUCGUGGGGCAGCGGAUGCUUAGCUUGCUAAGUAUGCCGGCGACCGGCGCACGGGUGAGUAACGCGUACCGAACCUGCCCAUCACACAGGGAUAGGCUUGCGAAAGCAAGAUUAAUACCUGAUGGUCUCAGUUGUAUGCAUGUAUGAUUGAGUAAAGCCUUCGGGCGGUGAUGGAUGGCGGUGCGUCCCAUUAGGAAGUUGGCGGGGUAACGGCCCACCAAUCCUUCGAUGGGUAGGGGUUCUGAGAGGAAGGUCCCCCACAUUGGAACUGAGAUACGGUCCAAACUCCUACGGGAGGCAGCAGUGAGGAAUAUUGGUCAAUGGGCGAGAGCCUGAACCAGCCAAGUAGCGUGCGGGAUGAAGGCCCUUGUGGUCGUAAACCGCUUUUAUCAGUGAAUAAAGUGCACCACGUGUGGUGUCAUUGCAGGUAGCUGAAGAAAAAGGACCGGCUAAUUCCGUGCCAGCAGCCGCGGUAAUACGGAAGGUCCGGGCGUUAUCCGGAAUUAUUAGGUUUAAAGGGAGCGCAGGCGGGAGUGUAAGUCAGCUGUUAAAUAUCAGGGCCCAACUCUGUUAUGCAGUUGAAACUAUAUUUCUUGAGUACGCACAGGGAUGGCGGAAUUCAGGGUGUAGCGGUGAAAUGCUUAGAUAUCCUGAAGAACUCCGAUCGCGAAGGCAGCCAUCCGGAGCGUAACUGACGCUGAGGCUCGAAGGUGCGGGUAUCGAACAGG
RNAcentral lists this ribosomal RNA (761 nucleotides) under Alloprevotella tannerae. RNAcentral's name for it is "bacterial SSU rRNA". It matches the Rfam family "Bacterial small subunit ribosomal RNA", at positions 28 to 776 of the family's 1533-position model. Lineage: Bacteria; Pseudomonadati; Bacteroidota; Bacteroidia; Bacteroidales; Prevotellaceae. The record is from RNAcentral.